CCUACGGGUGGCAGCAGUGGGGAAUAUUGCACAAUGGGGGGAACCCUGAUGCAGCGACGCCGCGUGGGUGAAGGAGUAUUUCGGUAUGUAAAGCCCUAUCAGCAGGGAAGAACAAUGACGGUACCUGACUAAGAAGCACCGGCCAAAUACGUGCCAGCAGCCGCGGUAAUACGCAGGGUGCAAGCGUUAUCCGGAUUUACUGGGGGUAAAGGGAGCGCAGGCGGCGCGUUAAGCCUGGUGUGAAAGCCCGCGGCCCAACCGCGGGACUGCAUUGGAAACUGGCGGGCUGGAGUGCCGGAGGGGUAGGCGGAAUGCCUGGUGUAGCGGUGAAAUGCAUAGAUAUUAGGAAGAACACCAGUGGCGAAGGCGGCCUACUGGCCGGAGACUGACGCUGAGGCUCGAAAGCGUGGGGAGCGAACAGGAUUAGAUACCCGAGUAGUC
Molecule: ribosomal RNA, 441 nt
Filed under: uncultured bacterium
Lineage: Bacteria
Description: partial 16S ribosomal RNA
Rfam family: Bacterial small subunit ribosomal RNA
Source: RNAcentral